Molecule: ribosomal RNA, 253 nt
Filed under: uncultured bacterium
Lineage: Bacteria
Description: partial 16S ribosomal RNA
Rfam family: Bacterial small subunit ribosomal RNA
Source: RNAcentral
UACAGAGGGUGCGAGCGUUGUCCGGAAUCACUGGGCGUAAAGGGCGCGUAGGUGGUUGGGUAAGCGUGUGGUGAAAGCCCGGGGCUCAACCCCGGGUCGGCCAUGCGAACUGCCCGACUGGAGCACGGUAGAGGCCAAUGGAAUUCCGGGUGUAGCGGUGGAAUGCGUAGAGAUCCGGAAGAACACCGGUGGCGAAGGCGGUUGGCUGGGCCGUGGCUGACACUGAGGCGCGACAGCGUGGGGAGCAAACGGG